UUCUCUAUUCCAUUCUUUCCUAGUAUAGUUAUUUAGUUUAAAUGAGCUAAGUCUAUGGCAAUCUGUAAAUUGAGCAUUGGGGACUUCUUUGAACUUGCUGUGACAGAUUUGAUUUCUUAGAGGAGUUGAGCAUGUGGCAGAUUGAACAAUCUGGACUUUAAGCUUAAAGUUAUGAACUUAUAUUUACUGAUUGUGAGGGGUUAACAAAGCUUGAAUGAAAACUUGUAUAUACAAAGUAAUUUAUGUUCUUAAUUUAAGGGCUUCUCUGUUGUCUCUUGCUUAUUUUAGUGGGGUGAGUUUCCAGCAUGUGUGUCUGUGUUUCAGAAGUAUAAUGAAAAGAAAUUAUCUUAUCCUAAACAUGAAAAUUCAAAACAAGGCAGAGGAUUGUGUGCAAGAGCUAUUGUUUACUCCACUUAUUUAUCAUGCUGUGAUUUUGAAGUGUUGGUGGUCUAAACAUGCUUGAGCUUUGUUUACUACAUGCUGGCGUGAAAUUUUGGUUGGGAGGAAGGUGGAGUUGUAUUACCUCCUGAAGCAGUUGCUUGAUUUUCAGCUUCUAAAACUUGGACUCUCUCACUUACUUCCUGAUUCCUUGUUGAAAAGUUGGGGGAAAAAAAUUGAGAUUGCUUUAACAUAAAGUGUUUGUGAUGAGGGGAGGAAAAAUGUGUUACCUAUGGGGAGUAGACAAUGCCUGCAGAAACUCUUCUCCUAGCUCACUCACUCUCGACUUUCUAUUGUAGCUGAAGAUUUCGAACAAGAAGGAGGAGUUUUGAGGGGGUGUGGGGGUUUUUAUAGGAGAGCUUGGGUGUACCUAGGAGAAUUAAAUGGAGCUGACCUCCAUUUGUCUUCAAACACAGCAUCUCUCUUUGUUUUGAUCUUCAAAGCAGCCUUUUACUUAAGAGUUGCAGGAGCAUCGAGAGAGGAGGCAAGGCUGUUGGGGUGAGGGUGCUGCAGCAGCUUUGACUUACCCUCUUGGGAAGUCCUUAGCUCCCCUUUGCUAAAGAAAGGAGGAAGCAUAACUUGGGCUGGUCGGAACGGGCUUGUGUGGUGAGGUUUGGGCUUGGGCCCACUGCUCUUGGCCCGACGAAUUGAUCGAGAACGAGUCGCGGUUUGCCGAAGGUUGGCUGGUGAAAUGAUGCCCAGCAUGCAUUCCUUUGUAAUAGUAUUCGUGAUUACGUUUCUCUUGUAAUAGUAUUCAUGAUCUAUCAUUUUUUAUAAGUGAAGGGAGUUUGUGACGUAUACUGUCACACCUCAA
This is a non-coding RNA of Salvia hispanica, 1252 nucleotides long. Lineage: Eukaryota; Viridiplantae; Streptophyta; Magnoliopsida; Lamiales; Lamiaceae. The record is from RefSeq and is a predicted model, not a curated record.